Molecule: non-coding RNA, 712 nt
Organism: Myodes glareolus (Bank vole)
Lineage: Eukaryota; Metazoa; Chordata; Mammalia; Rodentia; Cricetidae
Source: RefSeq, a predicted model, not a curated record
UUGAACUCAGGACCUCUGGAAGAGCAGUCAGUGCUCUUAACCUCUGAGCCACCUCUCCAGCCCCCAUCUUGGCCUUUUCUUGAUUGACAAUUGAUGCUACUGUGAUGACAAUCAGCUACUGUGGACAGGUAGGUGGUCCUGGGCUGAGUUGAACAGUUAGAGGGAAUCUGACAAGUAGUGUUCCUCCAGUCUCUGCUCUAGAGCCUGCACCUUCUUCCCUGCAUGCUGGACUGUCAGCUGUAAGAUGAACUCGAUGCUUCCCUCCCCACGCUGCCCUGUGUUGCGUUCAUCACAGCAGCAGAGACCUAAGACAAGCUCUCUAAGGCAGCUGAGCCACUACAACAUGCGGUUCCGGAGCUCCCUUCCUUUAUCGCACGUUGUCUGCUUCUCCUCAGGCCAUGACUGAUGUGGCUUAUAAGCCAUUGUAUCACAUGAGUAAGAUGUGGGUCCAGAGGUUGAGAUGUGAAAGCAGGUGGAAGAAGAACUGGCAGGAUGGCUCAGUGGGGUGCUGUCCUGCCGAAUGCAUCGACAUGAGAGCCACACAGGACUUGACUGAUUUUCUGGAAAGAGAUAAGCAGAACCUCGACCUGAUGCUACAGGAACAUUGGACGCUAUCACUGAUUCAUUUCGAGAUCUUUUCUUUUAACAUAUAUUUUAGGCCGUGACCCCUUUAGGACGAAAUGCUUUUGGGCAGCAGAAAAAGCAUUAUCCU